CGCAUGGUAGGAGAGCGUUCCGUAAGCCUGCGAAGGUGCCUUGUAAAGGGUGCUGGAGGUAUCGGAAGUGCGAAUGCUGACAUGAGUAGCGAUAAAGGGGGUGAAAGGCCCCCUCGCCGUAAGCCCAAGGUUUCCUACGCAACGUUCAUCGGCGUAGGGUGAGUCGGCCCCUAAGGCGAGGCAGAAAUGCGUAGCUGAUGGGAAGCAGGUCAAUAUUCCUGCACCGUCGUUAGAUGCGAUGGGGGGACGGAUCGCGGAAGGUUGUCCGGGUGUUGGAAGUCCCGGUCGCUGCAUUGGAGAAGGCGCUUAGGCAAAUCCGGGCGCAGGAUUCAAGGGUGUGGCGCGAGCUCCCUCGGGAGCGAAGCAAUUGGAAGUGGUUCCAAGAAAAGCCUCUAAGCUUCAGUCUAACGAUGACCGUACCGCAAACCGACACAGGUGGGCGAGAUGAGUAUUCUAAGGCGCUUGAGAGAACUCGGGAGAAGGAACUCGGCAAAUUGGUACCGUAACUUCGGGAUAAGGUACGCCCUUGUAGCUUGACCAGCCUGCGCUGGAAGGGUGAAGGGGUUGCAAUAAACUGGUGGCUGCGACUGUUUAAUAAAAACACAGCACUCUGCAAACACGAAAGUGGACGUAUAGGGUGUGACGCCUGCCCGGUGCCGGAAGAUUAAAUGAUGGGGUGCAAGCUCUUGAUUGAAGUCCCGGUAAACGGCGGCCGUAACUAUAACGGUCCUAAGGUAGCGAAAUUCCUUGUCGGGUAAGUUCCGACCUGCACGAAUGGCGUAACGAUGGCCACACUGUCUCCUCCCGAGACUCAGCGAAGUUGAAGUGUUUGUGAUGAUGCAAUCUACCCGCGGCUAGACGGAAAGACCCCAUGAACCUUUACUGUAGCUUUGCAUUGGACUUUGAACCGAUCUGUGUAGGAUAGGUGGGAGGCUAUGAAACCGGAACGCUAGUUUCGGUGGAGCCGUCCUUGAAAUACCACCCUGGUUUGUUUGAGGUUCUAACCUUGGCCCGUGAUCCGGGUCGGGGACAGUGCAUGGUAGGCAGUUUGACUGGGGCGGUCUCCUCCCAAAGCGUAACGGAGGAGUACGAAGGUACGCUAGGUACGGUCGGAAAUCGUGCUGAUAGUGCAAUGGCAUAAGCGUGCUUAACUGCGAGACCGACAAGUCGAGCAGGUGCGAAAGCAGGUCAUAGUGAUCCGGUGGUUCUGUAUGGAAGGGCCAUCGCUCAACGGAUAAAAGGUACUCUGGGGAUAACAGGCUGAUACCGCCCAAGAGUUCAUAUCGACGGCGGUGUUUGGCACCUCGAUGUCGGCUCAUCUCAUCCUGGGGCUGUAGCCGGUCCCAAGGGUAUGGCUGUUCGCCAUUUAAAGAGGUACGUGAGCUGGGUUUAAAACGUCGUGAGACAGUUUGGUCCCUAUCUGCCGUGGGCGUUGGAUAUUUGAAGGGGGCUGCUCCUAGUACGAGAGGACCGGAGUGGACGAACCUCUGGUGUACCGGUUGUGACGCCAGUCGCAUCGCCGGGUAGCUAUGUUCGGAAGAGAUAACCGCUGAAAGCAUCUAAGCGGGAAACUCGCCUUAAGAUGAGAUAUCCCUGGGGACUAGAUCCCCUUGAAGGGUCGUUCGAGACCAGGACGUUGAUAGGUCAGGUGUGUAAGCGCAGUAAUGCGUUCAGCUAACUGAUACUAAUUGCCCGUAAGGCUUGAUCCUAUAACA
RNAcentral lists this ribosomal RNA (1715 nucleotides) under Burkholderia ubonensis. RNAcentral's name for it is "bacterial LSU rRNA". It matches the Rfam family "Bacterial large subunit ribosomal RNA", at positions 1222 to 2925 of the family's 2925-position model. The record is from RNAcentral. Lineage: Bacteria; Pseudomonadati; Pseudomonadota; Betaproteobacteria; Burkholderiales; Burkholderiaceae.